Long non-coding RNA from Magnolia sinica, 1064 nucleotides. RefSeq lists it as uncharacterized. The transcript is spliced from 3 exons. The record is from RefSeq and is a predicted model, not a curated record. Lineage: Eukaryota; Viridiplantae; Streptophyta; Magnoliopsida; Magnoliales; Magnoliaceae.
AUUCUAGUAGAGUGGUGCUAGUUCCCAAAAAUGAAGUUCUCUAUCUGCUUUCUCUUCAAAUCAAAUCAAGUGAAGUUUCUAAGGGCACAUGGGUCCACGUGAAGUAUGGGAAAUACAAAGGGAACCUUGCACAGGUUGUGGCUGUUGAUGAUGCACGGAAGAGGCCACCGUAAAGCUGAUUCCAAGGAUCGAUCUCCAAGCCAUGGCACAAAAAUAUUUAUGUAAUUUCUUUCUUCCAGAAAAUUUAUGUGGCAGUGAUUUUGGAAUUAUGAAGCAACUACUGUUGGUUGCAUGCUAUUGUUUUCUAACCAACAUUCCAUUUUGACUUUUGUUUAGCUCUAAUCAUUUUAUUUUUUUUUGGUGUGAAUAAAUAUUCAUAUUUCCAGCUACCAUUAUCAGUGUAUAUGCUUCCUUUAGCCAUUUGAUUUGUUCACUAGUUUGCAUUUACUUCAUGUUGUGUUUCUGCUUAUGACAUUAUUGCUUGUUUUGUGGAAUGAUUUAUAUAUUUCUAAAAUAGAGAACUUGGUGUUUUCGCCAUUCAUUUGCACAAGCUUUAUCACUAUUUAUGGUAGGCUUGAUUCUCUGUUACAAUUCUGUAUUUUUGUAUGUGAAAUUUUAUUUAUUUGUCUUUGGUAUUAAGGGAAUUUGGAGUGGAAUGAUUACUGGGAUUGCUCUAUAGACCCUCAUCCUUGUAGUAAUCACGUGGCGUACUGACCGGGAGAAAGAGGCAAGUGUAUAUUGCAACACAUUUCUAUAUGCUUUGUUAGUCAUCUUUCUUCUUAAUGAUUUAAUUUUCCUUAAGCUUUACUUUAUCAGCAUAGCUAGACGUUAAUGAAAUUGACUUGAGGAAAUGCAUUCCCGUGCGGUAGGGAGAUUCAGUUUUUGAACCUUGUUUCUUUAUCUAUGCAGAGAAAUAAGGCGUGGGUUUUCAUUUACCCCAAAAAUAUAUGAGGAUUUUAAUCAAUUAUGCCUAAAUUUAGGCCUACAAGCACUUCAGCCUUUUGACACCACUUGUGCUACGAAUAGACCAUGUAGAGGAUUUGUUUUUAUUUAUUUAUUUAUUU